UACGGGGGAUGCGAUCGUUAUCCGGAUUUAUUGGGUUUAAAGGGUGCGUAGGCGGCUUAGUAAGUCAGCGGUGAAAUUUUGCAGCUUAACUGUAACAGUGCCGUUGAUACUGCCAGGCUAGGAUUUGGUUGCUGUGGGUGGAAUGUGUGGUGUAGCGGUGAAAUGCUUAGAUAUCACACAGAAUAUCGAUUGCGAAGGCAGCUCACAAAGCCAAGAUUGACGCUGAGGCACGAAAGUGUGGGGAUCAAACA
This 251-nucleotide ribosomal RNA is filed under the name uncultured prokaryote. RNAcentral describes it as "partial 16S ribosomal RNA". It matches the Rfam family "Bacterial small subunit ribosomal RNA", at positions 524 to 774 of the family's 1533-position model. The record is from RNAcentral.